This 408-nucleotide ribosomal RNA is filed under the name uncultured bacterium. RNAcentral describes it as "partial 16S ribosomal RNA". It matches the Rfam family "Bacterial small subunit ribosomal RNA", at positions 28 to 526 of the family's 1533-position model. The record is from RNAcentral.
GACGAACGCUGACGGCGUGCUUAACACAUGCAAGUCGAAGGGAGUUGCGAACGGGUGAGUAACACGUGAGUAACCUGCCCUUUUCUUUGGGAUAAGCCUGGGAAACUGGGUCUAAUACUGGAUGGUUUGGGGUGGGCUCGGGGCUUAUCAGCUUGUUGGUGGGGUGAUGGCGUACCAAGGCUUUGAGGGGUAGCCGGCCUGCGAGGGUGGCCGGUCACACUGGGACUGAGAUACGGCCCAGACUCCUACGCGGUGCAGCAGUGGGGGAUAUGGCACAAUGGAGGAAAGUCUGAUGCAGCGACGUCGUGGGGGGGAUGAAGGCCUGCGGGUUGUAAACUCCUUUCGCCCGCGGAAUGGUAGUGGGUAAAGAAGCGCCGGCUAACUACGUGCCAGCAGCCGCGGUAAUAC